UUGGAAGUAAAAGUCGUAACAAGGUUUCCGUAGGUGAACCUGCGGAAGGAUCAUUACCGAGUUAGGGUCGCCCCCGCGCGCCCGACCUCCAACCCUUUGUCUACCUGACCUACAUGUUGCUUCGGCAGGCCCGCCGCCCCCGCUCACCCGGGGGAGGCCGCCGGGGGUCUCGCGAUCCCGGGCCCGCGCCUGUCGACGGCCCCAACCACAAAACUCUUGUUAAAAAACGUGUCGUCUGAGUACCACAUUUUAAUCAAAUUAAAACUUUCAACAACGGAUCUCUUGGUUCUGGCAUCGAUGAAGAACGCAGCGAAAUGCGAUAAGUAAUGCGAAUUGCAGAAUCCGUGAGUCAUCGAAUCUUUGAACGCACAUUGCGCCCUCUGGUAUUCCGGAGGGCAUGCCUGUUCGAGCGUCAUUAUCACCCCUCAAGCCCGGCUUGUUGUUGGACGCGGCGGCGGCGGCCUCGGCCUCGCCCCGCCCGUCUCAAAGAUAAUGACGGCGUCUGUGAGGACUCCUGUACACUGAGCUUUCGGGCACGUACUAGGCCAGCACUCCAGACCCGGUCGCCGUCCCCUCACCCGGGACACUUUUUACCACACAAGGUUGACCUCGGAUCAGGUAGGAAUACCCGCUGAACUUAAGCAUAUCAAUAAGCCGGAGGA
RNAcentral lists this ribosomal RNA (662 nucleotides) under Phialophora sp. BMP2884. Its description in RNAcentral is "eukaryotic LSU rRNA". The stretch from base 263 to 415 matches the Rfam family "5.8S ribosomal RNA". Lineage: Eukaryota; Fungi; Ascomycota; Eurotiomycetes; Chaetothyriales; Herpotrichiellaceae. The record is from RNAcentral.